CUCCCUUUAUCAAAUUGUUUAUGUUAUCAUUUGUUCAAUUAUUAUCAUCGAAAAAACACAAUAAUUAUUAUAUUGUCACAUUGAAUUUAUACAAUUUGUUUGGUAACUUACAUCAUUUAUACAUACAUUCAAUGCUUACACCAACCCAAUAACACUUAUUUUUGUCAAAAGUCGAUAAUGACAAAUUAUUAUUAAAUAAUACAAUAUUUGUUACAUUAUAAUUGAACAAAAUUAAAUUAGUGCAAAAUUGUUCAUAUUUUCAUCAUUA
Cinara cedri is the source of this 268-nucleotide non-coding RNA. The record is from the annotation of a GenBank genome assembly. Lineage: Eukaryota; Metazoa; Arthropoda; Insecta; Hemiptera; Aphididae.